CCUACGGGUGACAGCAGUGGGGGAUAUUGCACAAUGGGGGAAACCCUGAUGCAGCGACGCCGCGUGGGUGAAGAAGUAUUUCGGUAUGUAAAGCCCUAUCAGCAGGGAAGAAAGAAGACGGUACCUGACUAAGAAGCCCCGGCUAACUACGUGCCAGCAGCCGCGGUAAUACGUAGGGGGCGAGCGUUAUCCGGAUUCACUGGGUGUAAAGGGAGCGUAGACGGCCGUGCAAGCCAGGAGUGAAAGCCCGGGGCCCAACCCCGGGACUGCUCUUGGAACUGUGCGGCUGGAGUGCGGGAGGGGCAGGCGGAAUUCCUGAUGUAGCGGUGAAAUGCGUAGAUAUCAGGAGGAACACCGGCGGCGAAGGCGGCCUGCUGGACCGCGACUGACGUUGAGGCUCGAAAGCGUGGGGAGCGAACAGGAUUAGAUACCCCUGUAGUC
Molecule: ribosomal RNA, 441 nt
Filed under: uncultured bacterium
Lineage: Bacteria
Description: partial 16S ribosomal RNA
Rfam family: Bacterial small subunit ribosomal RNA
Source: RNAcentral